Molecule: ribosomal RNA, 403 nt
Filed under: Verrucomicrobiota bacterium
Lineage: Bacteria; Pseudomonadati; Verrucomicrobiota
Description: Verrucomicrobia bacterium partial 16S ribosomal RNA
Rfam family: Bacterial small subunit ribosomal RNA
Source: RNAcentral
UGGGGAAUAUUGCACAAUGGGCGCAAGCCUGAUGCAGCAACGCCGCGUGAACGAUGAUGGUCUUCGGAUCGUAAAGUUCUGUUGCAGGGGAAGAUAAUGACGGUACCCUGUGAGGAAGCCCCGGCUAACUACGUGCCAGCAGCCGCGGUAAUACGUAGGGGGCUAGCGUUAUCCGGAUUUACUGGGCGUAAAGGGUGCGUAGGUGGUCUUUCAAGUCGGUGGUUAAAGGCUACGGCUCAACCGUAGUUAGCCUCCGAAACUGGAAGACUUGAGUGCAGGAGAGGAAAGUGGAAUUCCCAGUGUAGCGGUGAAAUGCGUAGAUAUUGGGAGGAACACCAGUAGCGAAGGCGGCUUUCUGGACUGCAACUGACACUGAAGAACGAAAGCGUGGGUAGCAAACAGG